GGCUAACACAGCUCCUUUAGAAAUGUUCUAGCAGGUUUUCUGACUUUUGUCAGGAAACCAAA
Small nuclear RNA from Rattus norvegicus (Norway rat), 62 nucleotides. Ensembl annotates it as U7 small nuclear RNA. The record is from Ensembl. Lineage: Eukaryota; Metazoa; Chordata; Mammalia; Rodentia; Muridae.